CCUACGGGUGGCAGCAGUGAGGAAUAUUGGUCAAUGGGCGCUAGCCUGAACCAGCCAAGUAGCGUGAAGGAUGACUGCCCUAUGGGUUGUAAACUUCUUUUAUAAGGGAAUAAAGUGCAGUAUGUAUACUGCUUUGCAUGUACCUUAUGAAUAAGGAUCGGCUAACUCCGUUCCAGCAGCCGAGGUAAUACGGAGGAUCCGAGCGUUAUCCGGAUUUAUUUGGUUUAAAGGGAGCGUAGGCGGUUUGUUAAGUCAGUUGUGAAAGUUUGCGGCUCAACCGGAAAAGUGCAGUUGAUACUGGCAGCCUUGAGUACAUUAGAGGUAGGCGGAAUUCGUGGUGUAGCGGUGAAAUGCUUAGAUAUCACGAAGAACUCCGAUUGCGAAGGCAGCCUGCUGGACUGUAACUGACGCUGAUGCUCGAAAGUGUGGGUAUCAAACAGGAUUAGAUACCCGUGUAGUC
RNAcentral lists this ribosomal RNA (460 nucleotides) under uncultured bacterium. RNAcentral describes it as "partial 16S ribosomal RNA". It matches the Rfam family "Bacterial small subunit ribosomal RNA", at positions 338 to 795 of the family's 1533-position model. The record is from RNAcentral.